This 89-nucleotide microRNA precursor is filed under the name Echinops telfairi (small Madagascar hedgehog). Its description in RNAcentral is "miRNA (ENSETEG00000025713.1)". It matches the Rfam family "Eukaryotic large subunit ribosomal RNA", at positions 2138 to 2221 of the family's 3401-position model. The record is from RNAcentral. Lineage: Eukaryota; Metazoa; Chordata; Mammalia; Afrosoricida; Tenrecidae.
GAAAUCUGUUUAAUCAAAACAAAGCAUCGCAAAGGCCCAAGGCGGGUGUUGACGCGAUGUGAUUUCUGCCCAGUACUCUGAAAGUAAAA